AUUGAACGCUGGCUGCAGGCCUAACACAUGCAAGUCGAGCGGAUGAAGGGAGCUUGCUCCUGGAUUCAGCGGCGGACGGGUGAGUAAUGCCUAGGAAUCUGCCUGGUAGUGGGGGAUAACGUCCGGAAACGGGCGCUAAUACCGCAUACGUCCUGAGGGAGAAAGUGGGGGAUCUUCGGACCUCACGCUAUCAGAUGAGCCUAGGUCGGAUUAGCUAGUUGGUGGGGUAAAGGCCUACCAAGGCGACGAUCCGUAACUGGUCUGAGAGGAUGAUCAGUCACACUGGAACUGAGACACGGUCCAGACUCCUACGGGAGGCAGCAGUGGGGAAUAUUGGACAAUGGGCGAAAGCCUGAUCCAGCCAUGCCGCGUGUGUGAAGAAGGUCUUCGGAUUGUAAAGCACUUUAAGUUGGGAGGAAGGGCAGUAAGUUAAUGCCUUGCUGUUUUGACGUUACCAACAGAAUAAGCACCGGCUAACUUCGUG
Molecule: ribosomal RNA, 484 nt
Filed under: uncultured bacterium
Lineage: Bacteria
Description: partial 16S ribosomal RNA
Rfam family: Bacterial small subunit ribosomal RNA
Source: RNAcentral